This 2911-nucleotide ribosomal RNA is filed under the name gut metagenome. Its description in RNAcentral is "bacterial LSU rRNA". It matches the Rfam family "Bacterial large subunit ribosomal RNA", at positions 14 to 2593 of the family's 2925-position model. The record is from RNAcentral.
AGGGCGCAGGGCGAAUGCCUUGGCACUGGGAGCCGAUGAAGGACGUGGUUAACUGCGAUAAGCUGCGGGGAGUCGUAAGCAGACAUUAUAUCCGCAGAUUUCCGAAUGGGGCAACCCGGCUGAUUGCAGAUCAGUCAACAUAUACUGAAUAAAAUAGGUAUAUGUGGGGAACCGCCUGAACUGAAACAUCUAAGUAGGGCGAGGAAGAGAAAUCAAACGAGAUUCCGCUAGUAGUGGCGAGCGAACGUGGAAGAGGCCAAACCGAGAGUAGAAAUACCUUCGGGGUUCGGACAGCGAUAUGUAGGCAAAAGGUUAGUCGAAGUGUGUGGGAAAGCACAUCAAAGAGGGUGAUAAUCCCGUAGACGAAAACCGAUUGUCGCUAGCUGUAUCCAGAGUACCGCCGGACACGUGAAACCCGGUGGGAACAUGGGGGGACCACCCUCCAAGCCUAAAUACUACCCAGUGACCGAUAGAGUAAUAGUACUGUGAAGGAAAGGUGAAAAGGACCCCGGGAGGGGAGUGAAAAAGAACCUGAAACCCUGUGCCUACAAGCACCGAGAGCACGUCAAAGUGUGAUCGGGUACCUAUUGUAGAAUGGUCCGGCGAGUGUGUGUAACCAGCAAGGUUAAGAGCUUAAGGCUCGGAGCCGCAGCGAAAGCGAGUCUGAACAGGGCGUAUGAAGUUGGUUGUACACGACCCGAAACCGGGUGACCUACCCAUGUCCAGGAUGAAGUGGAGGUAAAACUCCAUGGAGGUCCGAACACACGUCCGUUGAAAUGGCCGGUGAUGAGGUGUGGGUAGCGGAGAAAUUCCAAUCGAACCCGGAUAUAGCUGGUUCUCUCCGAAAUAGCUUUAGGGCUAGCGUUGUCUUAGAUUACCGGGGGUAAAGCACUGAACGGGCUAGGGGCUGAAAAGUUACUGAACCCUAUCAAACUAAGAAUACCGGAUAAUCGAUGGACGGCAGUCAGACUAUGAGAGAUAAGUUCCAUGGUCAAAAGGGAAAGAGCCCAGACCCACAGCUAAGGUCCCAAAGUACAGUUAAGUGGAAAAGGAUGUGGAAUUGCACAGACAACCAGGAUGUUGGCUUAGAAGCAGCCACUCAUUAAAAGAGUGCGUAAUAGCUCACUGGUCGAGUGACUCUGCGCCGAAAAUUCAACGGGGCUAAAUUGUACACCGAAGCUUGGGAAGUUAGAUGUUAGACGGUAGAGAUUAGAAAGUAGAUGUUUGUAUGAGCGGAUAUAAAGAAUUGAAGGUAUAUAAAAGGUCAUAUAAAGCGGCGAAAGCAAUAUAUGAAAUGACCGUAGGAUUUCCAAAUGAGGAAAGGUACGGAAUAACCAAUCAAUUAAGACGUGCGGCAUUAAGCAUACCGUUAAAUAUAGCGGAAGGAUAUGCUAAGAGAGAAAGUCAGGAGGAAUUUAAAAGAUUUCUGAUGAUGGCACUCGGUUCUUCAAAUGAAGUACUGGUGCUGAUAGACUUUUCAAAAGACGUAGGUUAUAUAUCCGACGAAAAACACAGGAAAGCGUUUGCAGAGUAUGAGGAGAUAGCAAGUAUGCUAAAUUCAUUUAUACAAAGUGUAAAGACAAAGGUCUAAAAUCUAAUAUCUAGCGUCUAACAUCUAACUUGGUAGGAGAGCGUUCUCUGCGGGGUGAAGCAUGAGCGGAAGCGCGUGUGGACUUCAGAGAAGUGAGAAUGCCGGAAUGAGUAGCGAGAAUUAUGUGAGAAUCAUAAUGGCCGAAAGCCUCAGGUUUUAGAAGGAAGGUUCGUCCGCUUCUAGUUAGCCGGGAGCUAAGGCGAGGCCGAAAGGCGUAGCCGAUGCACAUACGGUAGACAAUCCGUAGCUGCCAAAAGAUUUAAAUUAGGGGACACUCUGAAAGGGUACAUCCCGGGCGUUGGUUGACCCGGGCGUAAGGGAGCGAAUUAUUCGCGAAGUGUGCUUGGACGGAGGCGAGAAAAGCCUAAUGUAUAUCUGCGGCACCCGUACCGCAAACCGACACAGGUAGGUAGGAGGAGAACUCUAAGGCCAACGGGAGAAGAGUUGUUAAGGAACUCGGCAAAUUGACCCCGUAACUUCGGGAAAAGGGGUGCUCAUAGCAAUAUGAGCCGCAGUGAAUAGGCCCAGGCAACUGUUUAUCAAAAACACAGGUCUCUGCUAAAUCGAAAGAUGAAGUAUAGGGGCUGACGCCUGCCCGGUGCUGGAAGGUUAAGAGGAGGAGUGCAAGCCCCGAAUCGAAGCCCCAGUAAACGGCGGCCGUAACUAUAACGGUCCUAAGGUAGCGAAAUUCCUUGUCGGGUAAGUUCCGACCCGCACGAAUGGCGUAAUGAUCUGGGCACUGUCUCAACAGCUCACCCGGCGAAAUUGUAGUACCGGUGAAGAUGCCGGUUACCCGCGACAAGACGGAAAGACCCCAUGGAGCUUUACUGUAACCUGAUAUUGGGUUUCGGUAUUUUAUGUACAGGAUAGGUGGGAGACUAUGAAACAAGGGCGCCAGCCUUUGCGGAGUCAACCUUGGGAUACCACUCUUAAAAUACUGGAAUUCUAACCUGCGGCCGUGAAUCCGGUCGGGGGACAUUGUCAGGCGGGCAGUUUGACUGGGGCGGUCGCCUCCGAAAGAGUAACGGAGGCGCUCAAAGGUUCGCUCAGCACGGACGGAAACCGUGCUUUUGAGUGUAAACGCAUAAGCGAGCCUAACUGCGAGACUGACGGGUCGAGCAGUAACGAAAGUUGGAGUUAGUGAUCCGGCGGUAUGUGAGUGGAAAUGCCGUCGCUCAACGGAUAAAAGCUACCCUGGGGAUAACAGGCUGAUCUCCCCCAAGAGUCCACAUCGACGGGGAGGUUUGGCACCUCGAUGUCGGCUCAUCACAUCCUGGGGCUGUAUUCGGUCCCAAGGGUUCGGCUGUUCGCCGAUUAAAG